AGGACGAACGCUGGCGGCGUGCUUAACACAUGCAAGUCGAACGGUGAUCUCGGUGCUUGCACCGGGUGAUCAGUGGCGAACGGGUGAGUAACACGUGAGUAACCUGCCCCCGACUCUGGGACUAACCCCGGGAAAUCGGAGCUAAUACCGGAUACGAGACGCACAGGCAUCUGGUAGCGUCUUAGGAAAGUAUUUCGGUCGGGAUGGACUCGGCGGCCUAUCAGCUUAGGUUGGGUACGGGGUAACCGGCCCAACCGAAGGGCGAACGGACGGGGUACGCCGGGCCUGGAGGACGGGCGACCGGGCCAACGACCGUCGGGACUGGAGACACGGCCCAGACUCCGACGGG
RNAcentral lists this ribosomal RNA (349 nucleotides) under uncultured soil bacterium. Its description in RNAcentral is "bacterial SSU rRNA". It matches the Rfam family "Bacterial small subunit ribosomal RNA", at positions 26 to 345 of the family's 1533-position model. The record is from RNAcentral.